ACUCAAAUGAAUAGACGGGGGCCCGCACAAGCAGUGGAGUAUGUGGUUUAAUUCGACGCAACGCGAAGAACCUUACCAGGGCUUGACAUAUACAGGAAUAAGUUAGAGAUAGCUUAGCUCUUCGGAGCCUGUAUACAGGUGGUGCAUGGUUGUCGUCAGCUCGUGUCGUGAGAUGUUGGGUUAAGUCCCGCAACGAGCGCAACCCCUGUCCUUAGUUGCCAGCACGUAAUGGUGGGAACUCUAAGGAGACUGCCGGUGAUAAAUCGGAGGAAGGUGGGGACGACGUCAAAUCAUCAUGCCCUUUAUGUCCUGGGCUACACACGUACUACAAUGGCUAUAACAAAGAGAAGCGAAGCCGCGAGGUGAAGCAAAACUCAAAAAAAUAGUCUCAGUUCGGAUUGAAGGCUGAAAUUCGCCUUCAUGAAGCUGGAAUUGCUAGUAAUGGCAGGUCAGCAUACUGCCGUGAAUACGUUCCCGGGCCUUGUACACACCGCCCGU
RNAcentral lists this ribosomal RNA (498 nucleotides) under uncultured bacterium. Its description in RNAcentral is "bacterial SSU rRNA". It matches the Rfam family "Bacterial small subunit ribosomal RNA", at positions 899 to 1397 of the family's 1533-position model. The record is from RNAcentral.